AGAUGGAUUCUGAGACACGAAUCCAGGCCCUACGGGGUGCAGCAGGCGCGAAAACUUUACAAUGCUGGCAACAGCGAUAAGGGAACCUCGAGUGCCAGGUUACAAAUCUGGCUGUCGAGAUGCCUAAAAAGCAUUUCAUAGCAAGGGCCGGGCAAGACCGGUGCCAGCCGCCGCGGUAACACCGGCGGCUCGAGUGGUAACCGUUAUUAUUGGGUCUAAAGGGUCUGUAGCCGGCCGGAUAAGUCUCUUGAGAAAUCUGGCAGCUUAACUGUCAGGCUUUCAGGAGAUACUGUCUGGCUCGAGGCCGGGAGAGGUGAGAGGUACUUCAGGGGUAGGGGUGAAAUCUUGUAAUCCUUGAAGGACCACCAGUGGCGAAGGCGUCUCACCAGAACGGACCUGACGGCAAGGGACGAAAGCUAGGGGCACGAACCGGAUUAGAUACCCGGGUAGUCCUAGCCGUAAACGAUACUCGCUAGGUGUCGGCCACGGUGCGACCGUUGUCGGUGCCGUAGGGAAGCCGUGAAGCGAGC
This 530-nucleotide ribosomal RNA is filed under the name uncultured archaeon. RNAcentral's name for it is "bacterial SSU rRNA". It matches the Rfam family "Archaeal small subunit ribosomal RNA", at positions 294 to 824 of the family's 1478-position model. The record is from RNAcentral.